RNAcentral lists this ribosomal RNA (253 nucleotides) under uncultured bacterium. Its description in RNAcentral is "partial 16S ribosomal RNA". It matches the Rfam family "Bacterial small subunit ribosomal RNA", at positions 524 to 776 of the family's 1533-position model. The record is from RNAcentral.
UACGAAGGGGGCUAGCGUUGCUCGGAAUCACUGGGCGUAAAGGGUGCGUAGGCGGGUCUUUAAGUCAGGGGUGAAAUCCUGGAGCUCAACUCCAGCACUGCCUUUGAUACUGAAGAUCUUGAGUUCGGGAGAGGUGAGUGGAACUGCGAGUGUAGAGGUGAAAUUCGUAGAUAUUCGCAAGAACACCAGUGGCGAAGGCGGCUCACUGGCCCGGUACUGACGCUGAGGCACGAAAGCGUGGGGAGCAAACAGG